AAGCGUGGGAGGAGAGAACAAGCCUCGCAUGUCCAAGCCGCAGGAAUUCCUGACUAUUUUUAAGUGUGAGCGAGCCGCACUCACAACACGACGUUUAAAUAGCUCAGCUUUUCUUCGAGGCUUCGGUAGCUGGGCGUUGACUCUGUUUACGUCGCAAUCUGAGGCAAAGAAAACAACAAACAACAGCUUCCCAAGCCGAUCACUGGGCCCAGUGAGAGGAAGAACCUGGGACAUCGUGUACAGAACAGAGAUCACAGGGGGAUCAGACAAUAGCGUCUUUUUAUUUUUCUUCGGUACAUGAUGGUGAUCCCCCUCCCAAGUCCCCUGUGUUUGAUGCCACACCUGUUCAGUGACUGUCAUGGUUCUGUUGCCAUGGACACAGCAACAUCGGACCUGCGGGGACAAAAGUGGAUGAAGAUCACAAUAGGUGUCCUGUGGAUGAAUGCAUUUUAAUAGAUUAGUGUUCUGCACCAGCUCGGGUCCCUGGGACGAUAAUGCAGACAGGUCCAUUACAUGCUACUCAUCCACCAUGAGCAGUUAGCCUGAUGCUAAUAGGCAUGAUCCACCAUUGUACGCCUUAGCAUUGCACGUGACAUCAGGACAUAAGAAAAUGGAAGAAUUAAAACAUUUUCAUCGUUAAAAGUCACUGGUGAUGAUCCAGCCCCCCCACCAACCCUGAUCAGGAUAAGCAGUUAGGAAACAGGUGAAUAGAAAGAAUUAUGCAAUUAAAGUCUGUACAAAAUCUUAUGCUAAGAGUCAGAGAUAAACAUUGACUUUUUUUGUGGACGUUAAUAAUGACAAAAACAGGGAAAGUAUAUGAUGUUUUGGGUGCUGGCAUUGUGCAGUUGGAGGGUAGAGGGAGACUGGAGUGUGACUUGUGAAUCGUGAGCAGGAAGCAGGCUGUCCUCUUUCAUAAGGGGGCAGGUUUUGUGUCCCACCUUCAACGUUUAUGCUACACGAAUCCUCCUAGGCCGUCCAUCCCCCCGUUAAGCGCUACAUUGUUCUCCAGAUUUCCACGUUGGGUAUCCGACACACCAUCCUCUCUCUGUGCGUGGGACCCGUGACCACAGAGCCACCCCCCCCCCCCACCUCUGGGCCAAUUCCCAUGACCCCAUGCACUUACCCCUUGCCCUCUGCUGGCUGCGGAGGCCACACCCCUCUGCCAGAAGCAGGAUGUUAUCAAAGGUCUCGUCCCUGUUCCUGAGAAGGAUCUAAGUUUGGACAAACAAACAAACGUCACAAAUAGGCCAAGGGGCUUUUAAGUUGACCUUUGUUAUUUUUAGAGAAGGAUUUGACGCAGGGUCAUUGUGUUAACUCUUCUCCUCUAUGGUACACAGACAAGGAGGACAGGUUCCACAAAAAACCCUUUGGAUGCAAAUUCAUCAGAUCACACCAAGUUGAGUGCCUGUGACAUCGGUGUCUCCUCCCUGGCUCCUAACGCUACCAUGAAGUAUGAAAGCUAUCGCUCAGAUGAAGCCGUCAAUCUCGCAUCCCCUGGCAUCUUGCCAUUAAUUCACGCCUUUCCCUCUGCAGGGUAGGUUGGCACUGUCAACAAACAAAACAGCUUAUAGUAUAAAACAUCCAUUUAUUCAAAAGACACAUAGCCUUUGUGAGGAGAGGAAAUGACUAACCUUUCAUUCUGACAAAGAAAAUCCCUAUAAUCAAAUUACACUGAGGCCUACUUUUAAACUUCACAAACAGUAUGACUGGCCUUACAUGUCCGUAACAAUAACCUGUUUUUGACGGCUAAUACACACAAGUAGAUCGCUGAUAAUGAAGCUAAUUGCUGUUGUUUGUAGAGCAGUUUGGAUGUGGAAAUAGGCCUCACUGCCAGCAUUUCACAUUCCAGACUGUACGCUGUUUACAUUGCUUUCAGCAGUAGUCAUGUGACCUGCUUCUACUCCUCCAGAAGGAAUAUUAUGGGCCAAAUGUAAAACAAACUAGACCUUAACUUUCUAUAAACAGAUUUCGCUACCACUGACCCAGGACACGAUGGGAGUUUUGGAUAGGCAUGCCUGCUAUGAAAAUAAGAUAUAAAUAAAAAAUUCAAAUUUCAAGGAAGUAGCAAACUAAUGUGAGACUCAUGCUAUUUUGAUGAACAUGUUAAUCUCACUGUUCUAUAUAAAGUUAGCAGUAAAGCGUAACUCAUUAAUUUUACAAGUGCUGCAGAGAGUAACCUGAGACCCUUUGGGUUCCAUUUCUUUGUAAAGGUUCAAGAACACUGGGCUUGAUGGAAAGUUUUCUCAAGUUCUGGACCGGUUUGCCGGGGUUCUGAGGUUUGAACAUGGUUCUAUAGACAUAAGCUCCUGCCUGAUCUGCUUUCUCAGUCUCACAGACAAACCCAGCAGAAAGUGGAGCUUGCUGAGUUUUCGAGAGACACCCCUACAGCUUUGUGGAAUUUGGAAGGAUGUGGGUAUUUUGAGGGAGGGGGCAAGAUCAGCUGACAAGCCUGAGUAAUCAACAGUAUGAGGUAAAUUUAUUCUGUAAGUUGUAGUGACUGGGAGCAAUGGGCCAUCUGAAGCUGAUUUUGGCCAUUGAGACAGAGAGACAUAGAGCAAAAUGUGUGUUUGUAGUUGAAUCAUUUUGCAUAUCCGUUUGUACCAUUUAAUAAACACUGUUGCUUGGAUGUUCACAA
Molecule: long non-coding RNA, 2635 nt
Organism: Paramormyrops kingsleyae
Lineage: Eukaryota; Metazoa; Chordata; Actinopteri; Osteoglossiformes; Mormyridae
Source: RefSeq, a predicted model, not a curated record